Molecule: transfer RNA, 67 nt
Filed under: Hesperoptenus blanfordi (Blanford's bat)
Lineage: Eukaryota; Metazoa; Chordata; Mammalia; Chiroptera; Vespertilionidae
Description: partial tRNA-Val
Rfam family: tRNA
About the family: Transfer RNA (tRNA) molecules are approximately 80 nucleotides in length. Their secondary structure includes four short double-helical elements and three loops (D, anti-codon, and T loops).
Source: RNAcentral
CAAAGCGUAGCUUAAAAUAAAGCAUCUAGUUUACACCUAGAAGAUUUCAUACAGAUUGACCGCUUUG